This 490-nucleotide ribosomal RNA is filed under the name uncultured bacterium. RNAcentral describes it as "partial 16S ribosomal RNA". It matches the Rfam family "Bacterial small subunit ribosomal RNA", at positions 30 to 507 of the family's 1533-position model. The record is from RNAcentral.
AUUGAACGCUGGCGGCAGGCCUAACACAUGCAAGUCGAACGGUAACAGGAAGCAGCUUGCUGCUUUGCUGACGAGUGGCGGACGGGUGAGUAAUGUCUGGGAAACUGCCUGAUGGAGGGGGAUAACUACUGGAAACGGUAGCUAAUACCGCAUAACGUCGCAAGACCAAAGAGGGGGACCUUAGGGCCUCUUGCCAUCGGAUGUGCCCAGAUGGGAUUAGCUAGUAGGUGGGGUAACGGCUCACCCAGGCGGCCAUCCCUAUCUGGUCUGAGAGGAUGACCGGCCACACUGGAACUGAGACACGGUCCAGACUCCUACGGGAGGCAGCAGUGGGGAAUAUUGCACAAUGGGCGCAAGCCUGAUGCAGCCAUGCCGCGUGUAUGAAGAAGGCCUUCGGGUUGUAAAGUACUUUCAGCGGGGAGGAAGGGAGUAAAGUUAAUACCUUGGCUCAUUGACGUUACCCGCAGAAGAAGCACCGGCUAACUCCGUG